UACAGAGGUCCCGAGCGUUGUUCGGAUUCAUUGGGCGUAAAGGGUGCGUAGGCGGCGGGGCAAGUCUGAUGUGAAAUCCCGGGGCUCAACCCCGGAACUGCAUUGGAUACUGCCUUGCUAGAGUACUGGAGAGGGAACUGGAAUUUACGGUGUAGCAGUGAAAUGCGUAGAGAUCGUAAGGAAGGCCAGUGGCGAAGGCGAGUUCCUGGACAGUUACUGACGCUGAGGCACGAAGGCCAGGGGAGCAAACGGG
This 253-nucleotide ribosomal RNA is filed under the name uncultured bacterium. RNAcentral's name for it is "partial 16S ribosomal RNA". It matches the Rfam family "Bacterial small subunit ribosomal RNA", at positions 524 to 776 of the family's 1533-position model. RNAcentral also lists the same sequence under 1 other name. The record is from RNAcentral.